Molecule: ribosomal RNA, 1500 nt
Filed under: Candidatus Nomurabacteria bacterium
Lineage: Bacteria; Candidatus Nomuraibacteriota
Description: bacterial SSU rRNA
Rfam family: Bacterial small subunit ribosomal RNA
Source: RNAcentral
UUAGAGUUUGAUCCUAGCUCAGGAUGAAUGCUGGCGGCGUGGAUGAGGCAUGCAAGUCGAAUGCUGCACCUUUCAGUCUUUGUUUUACAAGACGGAAAUGAAGUUUGAAAGGUGCAGCAUGGCAGACGAGGUAGGAACACGUAGGUACGUACCCAAGAGUCAGGGAUAACCCGGCGAAAGUCGGAAUAAUACUUGAUGGUCCCAGCUCCAGUUUUAGUUGUCAUUUAUAUUCUUUCGUGAAAAACAUAAAUAAUUUUUGUUUAUUACACUUGUAAAUAAAUGGUUACCAAAACUGGGGCUGGGUAAAGAUUUAUCGCUCUUGGAACGGCCUGCGGUCUAUCAGCUUGUUGGUAAGGUAACGGCUUACCAAGGCUACGACGGAUAGGGGAGGUGAGAGCCUGACCCCCACCGAUGGAACUGCGACACGGUCCAUACUCCUACGGGAGGCUGCAGUCGAGAAUCUUCCGCAAUGGGCGAAAGCCUGACGGAGCGACGCCGCGUGGUGGAUGAAGUGCUUAGGCACGUAAACACCUUUUAUGAGGGAGGAAGUUUAUUGACGUUACCUCAUGAAUAAGGGGCUCCCAACUCUGUGCCAGCAGGAGCGGUAAUACAGAGGCCCCAAGCAUUAUCCGGAUUCACUGGGCGUAAAGGGUGCGUAGGCGGUGUUAUUAGUCGGGUGUUAAAUCCUGGGGCUCAACCCCAGACUUGCAUUCGAAACGGUAAUACUAGAAGAAGUCAGAGGUUUAGAGAACUCUCGGUGUAGGGGUGAAAUCCGUUGAUAUCGAGGGAAUACCAAAUGCGAAGGCACUAAACUGGGACUUUCUUGACGCUGAGGCACGAAAGCGUGGGUAGCGAAUCGGAUUAGAUACCCGAGUAGUCCACGCCCUAAACGUUGUCUGUUGGCUUUAGGAGGAAUCGACCCUUCUGAGGUGAAGCUAACGCGUUAAACAGACCGCCUGGGUAGUACGAGCGCAAGCUUAAAACUCAAAGGAAUAGACGGGGGCUCGCACAAGCGGUGGAGCGCGUGGCUUAAUUCGUCGCUAAGCGAAGAACCUUACCGAGAUUAGAUAUCAUACUGCACGCUCCGGGAAACCGGAGAAUCCUUCGAGGGUGUAUGGCAGGUGAUGCAUGGCCGUCGUCAGUUCGUGGCUUGAGCUGUUCCCUUAAGUGGGGAAACGAACGCAACCCUCGUUGCCUGUUACAAGUGUCAGGCGAGACUGCUCCCUCACGGGAGAGGAAGGUGAGGAUGACGCCAGGUCAGCAUGUCCCUUGAUGCCUCGGGCUGCACUCGUGAUACAAUGGGUAGUACAAAGAGACGCAAUACCGUAAGGUGGAGCAAAUCUUCAAAACUAUCCUCAAUUCGGAUUGAGGUCUGCAACUCGACCUCAUGAAGCCGGAAUCGCUAGUAAUCGUAGGUCAGCUAUACUACGGUGAAUACGUUCCCGAGCCUUGUACUCACCGCCCGUCAAGUCAGGGGAGUCGGAAGUGCCCGAAGUUCGU